Long non-coding RNA from Drosophila elegans, 695 nucleotides. RefSeq lists it as uncharacterized. The transcript is spliced from 2 exons. The record is from RefSeq and is a predicted model, not a curated record. Lineage: Eukaryota; Metazoa; Arthropoda; Insecta; Diptera; Drosophilidae.
AGUGAAAAAGUUUCUGGUGGAAAAUAUGUAACCAUAUCUCUGAUUAUACCCAUGGCAUAUGGGCUUCUGCGGAAAAUCGAAAAAUUCUUGCCAGAAACUAUGCAAGGAAAAACAAUCCAAAAUAUAUUAAUGGAAUCAAUAAAGAAACGACUCUCAAUUUAUGAACAAAGAAAUGUAUGUAUGAUGGCAACAUUAUUGGACCCACGUUUUAAAAAAAAUGGUUUUCAAGACGCUUCAAACGCUGAACAAGCAUCAACCUUUUUGAAAACGAACUGGCCCAUUCGUCAAUCGAAGAGUCCAGAAAGGAUCUGACCAUCGCAGCGGACACAAGUACCCAGGACACAUUUUUUGAUUUUUUGGGUGAACGAUCAGAUAGCAAAAUCGGAAACGCACGAGUGGAUGCUAUACUUAUUAAAAGGCAAUAUCUGGAGAGGGCAAUUGUCAGUCACGAUGUGGACCCACUGUUAUGGAUUAAGGUUAAUCAAACUGAUCUUCCCUGCAUAAAGGGCCUCUUUUGCAAAUACCUUUGCAUUCCCGCAACAUCCGUAGAAUCGGAAAGAGCUUUUAGCAAGGCAGGGCAAAUUGUUUCCGAGAGACGCACCCGGCUCAAAGAGAAAAACAUUAACAUCCUGUUAUUUUUGAAUCAAAACUUUUGGUUAAAAUAAACCAUUUUUCUUAAAAACUUAAAAAAAAAA